GCGUCCUUCUACCGCCAGCUCCUGCUGGUCGAUGCUACAGAUGAUGAGAUAACUAUAGCUACAAGGAUGCUGCGCUAGCUUUGACAACAACACGAGGACGACGAGGCCUAGAAGGAUGCAUCCCGACCUUCUUCUUCUUACAGCUCCAAGCAGGAGCAGGGCAGCAGUGAUUCCCUGACACUAACUCAGUGACCAGAAAAGAUCCUAAAACAUCCUGGAGGAGUUCCAGAUGGUUUGCCAAGAAGGUCUUCAGCAUGUUGACCAUUAUGCAGUGACCACAUGGAUGAUCCAUCACAUGGAUGACCGCGCUUCACAGCGAUGCCCAUCCUUGGCUCCGUGCCCGAUGCCAGCAGACCCUCGCGGGAACCACAGAAACAUUCCUCCGGACCCAGAGAGUACCCCGAAACCGCAACUCUCGAACCAGUUGGUGAGUCUGCGUUGCAUCUGUUUAUGAUAGUUUAGCGCAGGAGGGGAAAAUCCCGAAAGGGUGGAGUUUGUUCAUGUCUUUUGGAUGGUUGGCAAGAA
Long non-coding RNA from Sebastes umbrosus (honeycomb rockfish), 525 nucleotides. RefSeq lists it as uncharacterized. The record is from RefSeq and is a predicted model, not a curated record. Lineage: Eukaryota; Metazoa; Chordata; Actinopteri; Perciformes; Sebastidae. The transcript has 3 exons.